GUGAGGAAUAUUGGUCAAUGGACGAGAGUCUGAACCAGCCAAGUCGCGUGAAGGAAGACGGUUCUAUGAAUUGUAAACUUCUUUUGUGCAGGAAUAAAGUGGGUUACGUGUAACCUUUUGUAUGUACUGUACGAAUAAGGAUCGGCUAACUCCGUGCCAGCAGCCGCGGUAAUACGGAGGAUCCGAGCGUUAUCCGGAUUUAUUGGGUUUAAAGGGUGCGUAGGUGGAUUGAUAAGUCAGCGGUGAAAGUUUGCAGCUUAACUGUAAAAUUGCCGUUGAAACUGUCGGUCUUGAGUGCAAAUGAGGUAGGCGGAAUGUGUUGUGUAGCGGUGAAAUGCUUAGAUAUAACACAGAACUCCGAUUGCGAAGGCAGCUUACUGGGAUGCAACUGACGCUGAGGCACGAAAGCGUGGGGAUCAAACAGGAUUAGAUACCCCAGUAGUCC
Molecule: ribosomal RNA, 445 nt
Filed under: uncultured bacterium
Lineage: Bacteria
Description: partial 16S ribosomal RNA
Rfam family: Bacterial small subunit ribosomal RNA
Source: RNAcentral